This is an RNA transcript of Xiphophorus couchianus (Monterrey platyfish), 3194 nucleotides long. It is a transcript of the gene named platelet-derived growth factor alpha polypeptide b, with no coding region annotated. The transcript is spliced from 7 exons. Lineage: Eukaryota; Metazoa; Chordata; Actinopteri; Cyprinodontiformes; Poeciliidae. The record is from RefSeq and is a predicted model, not a curated record.
GAGGCGCAAUGGGCACAGAGCUGCUGGCUCUCUAUAUUCAGCGGCUCAGAGGCGCUCUGACACCAUUCACUCCAGAGUCCUACACGUCCAAGGACCUGCGCGCAGACACGCUCUGAACAGCCCCUCACGGACUCCUUUCUCCAUUGGAGAUUAGGGCAUCUUUUGGAUUAUUUUUCAUUCAAGACUUUCAGAACAGAGAAAAAACAGUGCGCUUUCACUUGUCCUCAGAGACAAGCAGCUGUUUUUGUUAUGUGUGGUUUCUCGGUCAAAGUGUGAAGUCAUUUUUUUUUUUUUUUUUUUUUUGCUAAGGUGAAAGACAAGUGCAAUGUGCGCUAGACUUGUUUAUUGGAUUUGCCUCACGCGUGCGUAAGGAAGGUAUAUGCUGUGCUGGAGCGCAGGGCUUUUUCAAGAGGACGCAGCUCAAUGUGAAUAAAAAGAAGACUGCUAAGCCCGAGAGUUUCGAACAAGUACAAGCAGCGCGUCUGGCCGACCUGCUCUGACUACACCGUUUCCCUCCCUGAGGGGAUGGUUGUGGAUCCUCUGGAGCCAGGAGCGACUCAGGGGCUCCUACGCGGCAGCACAUUUUUCGUGUUUGAGGGAGACUUUACAGUAAAAGGAGAUGAGAGCCACAAUUUGCUGCUUCCUGCUGUGGACGACGUACCUGCUGGCCACUGCUGAGAAGGAAGUGGAGUUUCCACAGGAGCUGAUCGAUCGACUCUCCAACAGUGAAAUCCACAGCAUCAGCGACCUCCAGCGGUUACUGGAGAUUGACUCCAUAGGUACGGGAAACGAUGUUGUUGAGGAGCACAAGCACCACAAGCACCACAACCACCAUAAGAACUCGUCCCAUCAUCAUGGUUACUACAAUGAACUGAAAAGCUCCCAGUUGCACAGCCGACGCAAGAGGAGCAUUGUCGAAGAGGCCGUCCCGGCAGCAUGCAAGACGCGGACGGUGAUCUACGAGAUCCCCCGGAGCCAGGUGGAUCCCACAUCUGCCAACUUCCUGAUAUGGCCACCCUGUGUGGAGGUGAAGCGCUGCACAGGAUGCUGCAACACCAGUAACAUGCGCUGUCACCCUUCACGCAAGCACCACCGCACCGUUAAGGUAGCCAAAGUGGAGUACGUGAGGAGGAGACCCAAGCUGAAGGAGGUCUUUGUGAGGUUAGAGGACCACCUGGAGUGUGUGUGUACAUCACAACAUCAUGUGGUAGAACACUUAGAUGCAGAAACAGGCCAUCGUAGGGUUAAAGGUAAAAAAAGGAAACCUAAAAAGCUAAGGCCCACCAAGGACUUAUUGGUGACAUAAUAAAGGUGCUCUUAUUACCCAAAGUCCACUGCAAGGCUGUGACAGGACACAGCAGAUGUGAGGUGAAACCUCCCAGACUAAGGGGCAGCAUCACGGGAUGGACCUAAACCAGAAGAGGACACCAUCUUCUUUGUCUCUCCACCCACCAUGCAAACAUUGUUUAAGGAAAAUAUACUUUCUCCAAAAAGUCUUGAGACUGAAAAAUAGACAACAGACUAAAAUACAGAAUGCCAAAGGUGCUUUCAAAACUAGUAAUGAUGAGGGCAACUGAACUGUGCUGCUGAUUACGAAGUAAAAAAGAAGAUGCCAUGAAGCUCAGACUUCAAGAGGAUGGAAGGAAUUUGGGAUGAACAAUUCAAAAGACACGCAAAAUGGAAAAUAGACUGUGGGAUCAGACUUUUUUUUGUGAAUCCAGUGCUAUAACUCAAAGUGCCCUGUUUGUAUAGAAAAACUGUUGCAUUCAUAAGAAGAAAGCAAAAGGAAGAUGGGAAUAAAGAUGCAAAGAAACAGUUUGGGAGUGUUCAUUUUGCAGGACUAUAAGAGGCAGCAAACAUUGAAACUGGUGGACAAUUUGUUCUAAUUAAGGAAGAAACAGCCACAGAGACUUCCGGUUUUGAAAUUGCCUUACCUACUAUGUACAUAUAAAUCUAAAAAAAAAAAAAACAGAGGAUGCGCCGCUGCUUACAAACUAUUUAUGCGUGUGGACAUUUGCUUUUGUCACUUUCAAUCUUCAAGAAAGGACAAAAAAAAUAUGUUUUAUUAAUUUUCGCAGACAUACUGAUAUGUUUGGUCCAGUCCUUUGCUUUCACCAGUAUCACAAUCUCAGUGUCAUUUUUGUUUUUUAGCAGUUUUUUUUCCAUCGUCAACCAUGUUUCGUAUUAUAUUACAGUAUAUCUGAUUGAUGUCAAGUCUUGCAUAAGGUUCAGAUGUAUGUGUGCAAGGAGGAGUCAGUAAAGGAAGAUGUUUUAUUUUUGUUAUGAAAUAUAUUAUGCAUACUUAUAUCCAAGCAGGAAUUAUGUUUUCUUUAUUUUCUUUUGAAAAUGCAAAUAAUUUUAGCAGAUGGUCAAAUUGGUAAGGUUGAAAUCUGUUUGCAUCACUGUUGUGCAAAGGGUAUAAAAAAGGAGAAUCAAUAGCUAGUGGUGGUUUACAUUUCCUUAUGCUGCAGUCAUGCUCCUUUUUUGAGACAAACAAACAAGCGGAUAUCACAAUAUGUCGAUGACAAUCUCAUAACUAUACCAGAAAAAGCACCACAGUGUGCAGAUCUAAGUAAGCAUGUAGUUGGAGCUGGGUCUGAAAAUGCUACAGGUUAGUGAGCUGAAUCCAAAUUACAGACAUUUUUGUGUGACAGCCAUGUCAGAAGUGAAAGAAAAUUUUAUGUGCACUUGUGUUGAAUUAAAGAUACAUUCCUUGUUUUGAGUAAGGAUGCCUGUAGAUCAAAAAUCUGUUAAUGGAUGCUAAAAACUUGUAAAUGCAGCAGAGACUCACUAUCCAGCAGAAAUAUAACCAGAGCUACCGUAGGAUGGAAUGGUUUUGAUCAAAACACAUUUAUGUGCUGAAAUGGCCCAAACAAAGUAAAGAAUCCAGUUAAGAAUCCUUGACUAAACUAGAAUACUGACUUUCUUGUUAGUUUCCAGUGAUCUGUACUUCUAAAUGUGUAAAAAAAAACAAUAACAUGAAAUUAUACCAUAACAUUGGUCUUAUUAUGGUAUGCAAAAUGUAUCUAAAUUAACAGGAAAAUUUGGUUAGAGGUAUUUUAUGUCCAUAUCAUGAAGCACAACUAUAUAAGUCACUGAAGUCCUUUUUCUUUUCUUUUUUUACACAUAUUUUUAGUGAUUGUUUUUUGCAAACUGAAAAUCCCUGUCUACAAAUAAAUUAAAGGUUAAAUUAA